Molecule: unclassified non-coding RNA, 314 nt
Organism: Mesocricetus auratus (golden hamster)
Lineage: Eukaryota; Metazoa; Chordata; Mammalia; Rodentia; Cricetidae
Gene: 7SK
Rfam family: 7SK RNA
About the family: 7SK was discovered as an abundant small nuclear RNA in the mid-70s but a possible function has only recently been suggested. Two independent studies have found that 7SK RNA binds the CDK9/cyclin T complex (known as elongation factor P-TEFb).
Source: Ensembl
GGAUGUGAAGGCAAGCUGGCUGUGACACCUGUCACUGCAUUCAUCUCCAGGGUUGAUCUCAGCUGAUCCUGCAGGUUAGGCAGAUGUCCACCCCCCCCCCACUGCUCCAUGGUACAUCAGAAGCUGGGCACCUGGUCAAAGAUGACCUUCUCCCUCCCAUGAAGGGUGUCUUAGCCGCUGUGCCACCAAGCAAGCUCUCAAAGGUGAAUGGCACCGAGCCCGGUGUCUUAGUCACCGUUCUAAUGCUCUGAAGAGACACCACAACCCAGUCGGCCUUAUAAAAGAAAGCAUCUAACUGGGGGCUUGCCUAGUUU